Molecule: non-coding RNA, 90 nt
Filed under: Clostridium pasteurianum
Lineage: Bacteria; Bacillati; Bacillota; Clostridia; Eubacteriales; Clostridiaceae
Also listed under: 1 other name
Description: c-di-GMP sequence
Rfam family: c-di-GMP-I riboswitch aptamer
About the family: GEMM was predicted in a large-scale screen for bacterial structured RNA regulatory elements. Genes associated with GEMM are involved in a diverse array of functions, including chemotaxis regulation, signal transduction, secretion and chitin.
Source: RNAcentral
UAAUGAUAAUAGCAUACUUACUGAAAGGUAGGGGCGCAAAGCCAUGAGUCUAAAGAAAAUUCCAAUUUCCAUGAUUGUCAGGCUGCCAAA